Molecule: long non-coding RNA, 539 nt
Organism: Lingula anatina
Lineage: Eukaryota; Metazoa; Brachiopoda; Lingulata; Lingulida; Lingulidae
Source: RefSeq, a predicted model, not a curated record
UUCCCAGUUGAAGUUACUCAGUCAGUCAAUUACCCACUCAGUCAAUUGCACCUUAUCAGGAUAAUUAGCGUGGCAAUAGAAUAUGCCUAGGUUGAAAAAACAAAGCAUGGUCCAAAGAAGGGCAAAUCAGAAGAAGAUGAUCAAGAAAAGUCGCAAGAGGGUGACUAAGAAUGCCACGACUACUAUUGUGCCUGCUUCGGCAGGCACGCCCACCUCGGUGGGCUCUGUGAAAAACUGUGAAAUUACUGAUAUUACUGAUAGAAGCAGUGAAAUUACUGAUAUUACUGAUAGAAGCAGUGAAAUUACUGAUAGACACAGUGAAAAUACUGAAAAAAACAGUGAAAUUACUGAAAACACUGAAAAAAGUGAAAAUAAUGCAGUUACUGAAAACACUGAAUUUCCUGAACACACUGACAUUCCCAUUGCUUCAGAUGUUACUGUUCAUGCAGCUUAUACAGAUGCUUCAGAUAAGACAGAUGCUACAGUUGACACAGCCUAUCCUGUCAGUUUGAGUGCCACUGAUGCCCCUGGUCAUUCAA